This 1128-nucleotide long non-coding RNA is filed under the name Homo sapiens (human). RNAcentral describes it as "long non-coding RNA NONHSAT163386.1". Lineage: Eukaryota; Metazoa; Chordata; Mammalia; Primates; Hominidae. The record is from RNAcentral.
UCCAGACUCAGCCUCCUCAGACAAAAAAUCCCACUCUGUUCCCAGGCCGGAGAGCCUCCUGGGCUGGAAUUGCUCAAGCCUCAGCUCACAGAUGAGUCACUGUAUUCAUUUGCUCCACACAUCUCACUCUGAGUACUGUGUGUUUCAUCUGCCUUCACUCUCACAAUUAUUAUCAACUUGCUGGCUAUAAAAGGCAGGGGCUACAAACUCAGUGAGCCAAAUGCAGUGCUUGCUUCCUAUCUGUGGUCCAUUGCAUAGCAGUGUGCUUGGGUGCUGCGUAAGACAAUUCCCCCCAACGCCUCCAAAAAAUAGGACAUGGUCCACUGCAGGAGUUCAUAAUCUAGGAGUCCAGAGAGUCCAGGCUCAUCAUCCCUUCAGAAGAAAGAAUCUUCAGGCCUCUGCUCUUGUGAGAGUAAUUUCUCUUAACACCGACAGUGCAGGAAUACAACUACCACCACCUUUCAAUUAUUGAGAGGCAAUCAUCUAAAGCAUUUGGCAAGUGAUCCACUUACGGAGCCAAGCUAAGGGAGCUGAAGAGAAGAGGCCGCCGCCCCAACCCAGGUGUUGUUAGUUAUCUAGCCUUUUGCAAAGCCUCUUCCGUUUCUACUCUGCUCUUUAAGCUAUUUCAUGCCUUGAAGAUGUCUCUACCAGGGAAAAUAAAGAGAUUCAGCUCUUCCCCCACCUCCUGCCUGUCUCCAAGACAGAGUGGGGCUGAUGACUGGAGGUGGGAAGGACUAGAGGAAGAUGCCACAAAAUUUAGCAACUGGGCCUGAAAUUCACCAUUCACACCAUCAAACUGGACUAACAGGAAAGAAGAUUAUGUAAGGGCUACUCCAUGUGCUACUUUCUCUCGCAACUUUGAGCAAGAAUGUUAGAUCUUUUGCUGGGGGCCUUCGGAAGCCGUGAGGGAGCAUAUCCUGACACCCACAUAGAAGACCUGGUACCUAUGUUUCCACAUCACAAAGCAGGCCAACAAGCACACAAGGCCGCAGACCAAAUUAAGAAUCAUCUGGAUGAGUAAGAACAGUUUGAAAGUGCCAGUGACGCUGGUACAGUCCGUCACAUCCCGGUAAACAAAGGUCCUGCUGAGCGGCUCCGAGGAGGGCAGUUUGCACUGGCAAGAGUCGA